CUAAUUCUAACUGUUGUGGCUGAUUUUGAAGCUGCACCAAACCUUGAUUUGGAUCUAUAAUAAUCUGCUGCUGUCCAGUUGCUUGGUUCUCACCAGGAGUUCCUAUUUUGCUGCAAGUGGCUGCUAGCAAAGCGAGAGGUGAAGGCUGAGAAUCCUGUGAGCCUCCAGUUUUCCCUUUUUUAUUAUUAUUGUUGUUAUUCUCUGCCUCGGGAGAUUUCUCUCCCUCUGUGGGCAUAGUUUCCUCCUUCUUUUGAUCGCUCAUCCCGCAUUAAUGCCCCGCUGAGGCGCCG
This 290-nucleotide long non-coding RNA is filed under the name Gallus gallus (chicken). Lineage: Eukaryota; Metazoa; Chordata; Aves; Galliformes; Phasianidae. The record is from RNAcentral.